Molecule: ribosomal RNA, 486 nt
Filed under: uncultured Glomus
Lineage: Eukaryota; Fungi; Glomeromycota; Glomeromycetes; Glomerales; Glomeraceae
Description: SSU rRNA
Rfam family: Eukaryotic small subunit ribosomal RNA
Source: RNAcentral
AGCAGCCGCGGUAAUUCCAGCUCCAAUAGCGUAUAUUAAAGUUGUUGCAGUUAAAAAGCUCGUAGUUGAAUUUCGGGAUUGACACAUCGGUCGUGCCUUAAGGGGUAUGAACUGGUGUAGUCAAUUUCUCACCUUCUGGAGAACCGCGAUGCCCUUAAUUGGGUGUCGCGGGGAACCAGGACCUUUACUUUGAAAAAUUAGAGUGUUUAAAGCAGGCAUUUUGCUUGAAUACAUUAGCAUGGAAUAAUAAAAUAGGACGGCAUGAUUCUAUUUUGUUGGUUUCUAGGAUCACCGUAAUGAUUAAUAGGGAUAGUUGGGGGCAUUAGUAUUCAAUUGUCAGAGGUGAAAUUCUUGGAUUUAUUGAAGACUAACUACUGCGAAAGCAUUUGCCAAGGAUGUUUUCAUUAAUCAAGAACGAAAGUUAGGGGAUCGAAGACGAUCAGAUACCGUCGUAGUCUUAACCAUAAACUAUGCCGACUAGGAAUC